AGAACGAACGCUGGCGGCAGGCCUAAUACAUGCAAGUCGAACGCACUCUUCGGAGUGAGUGGCAGACGGGUGAGUAACGCGUGGAAACCUUCCCAAUAGUACGGAAUAACUCCGGGAAACCGGUGCUAAUACCGUAUAAGCCCUUCGGGGGAAAGAUUUAUCGCUAUUGGAUGGGUCCGCGUCGGAUUAGCUUGUUGGUAGGGUAAUGGCCUACCAAGGCGACGAUCCGUAGCUGGUCUGAGAGGAUGAUCAGCCACACUGGGACUGAGACACGGCCCAGACUCCUACGGGAGGCAGCAGUGGGGAAUAUUGCACAAUGGGCGAAAGCCUGAUGCAGCGAUGCCGCGUGCGGGAAGAAGGCCUUAGGGUUGUAAACCGCUUUCAGCAGGGAAGAAAAUGACGGUACCUGCAGAAGAAGGUGCGGCAACUACGUGCCAGCAGCCGC
Molecule: ribosomal RNA, 445 nt
Filed under: uncultured bacterium
Lineage: Bacteria
Description: SSU rRNA
Rfam family: Bacterial small subunit ribosomal RNA
Source: RNAcentral